Molecule: unclassified non-coding RNA, 238 nt
Filed under: rhizosphere metagenome
Description: partial ribosomal RNA internal transcribed spacer region
Source: RNAcentral
GUAGGUGAACCUGCGGAAGGAUCAUUAAUGAAUUUAGGAGGUUUGCUGUGCCGUCUUCACGGAAUUGUGCACGCUUACCUCUAUAAUCCUUAUCAACACCUGUGCACCUUUCUAGGGAGAACGAUAGGUUUCACGACCUAUCAUGACCUCUAUAUACACACUCUUUAUGUCAAUGAAUGUUACUUGGCCGAAAGGCUAGAAUUAUAAACAACUUUUAACAACGGAUCUCUUAGCUCUC